GCCUAGUUAGCUUUUAGGGUAGAGCGUCUGCCUUGUAAGCGCUAGGUCGUGGGUUUGAUUCCCACCCGGGGCG
Molecule: transfer RNA, 73 nt
Filed under: Diaphorina citri (Asian citrus psyllid)
Lineage: Eukaryota; Metazoa; Arthropoda; Insecta; Hemiptera; Psyllidae
Rfam family: tRNA
About the family: Transfer RNA (tRNA) molecules are approximately 80 nucleotides in length. Their secondary structure includes four short double-helical elements and three loops (D, anti-codon, and T loops).
Source: Rfam by way of RNAcentral